Molecule: long non-coding RNA, 926 nt
Organism: Papaver somniferum (opium poppy)
Lineage: Eukaryota; Viridiplantae; Streptophyta; Magnoliopsida; Ranunculales; Papaveraceae
Exons: 3
Source: RefSeq, a predicted model, not a curated record
AUAAUAUUCUGAAACAGAGGUUUUACUGUACUAAGAAAAAAGUAGCGACAUAACGUGUUAUGCAACCGAUUUCUGGACUGCACAACAAGUUAUGCAAAAAACAAAAGUUGCAGAACGUGUUAUGCAACCAAUUUCGAGAAUGCAUAACAAGUUAUGCAACAAGUUUUGUGGAUGCAUAACCUGUUAUGCAUCAGUAUUCACACCUUCAUUUUCUUUUAAAUGCACGUCACAUGCAUCCAUAUCCAAGCCAUAACACACAAGCAUCCAUUUCGAGAGUCUACUGAUGGUCCAUGGUCGAUACUCCGAAACCAAAACCAUCAAUACUAGGUGGGUGCCUUUACAAGAACACAUGUUCGAAAGAAAACUCGCUGAUAAUUUCAAUUUCAAAGGAGAUCAGUUAAACCAAAACCUAGCUCAAAAAACGCCACUAUAAGCUUCAAUUUGGGAAUCAAUUGAAAGAACCACACUCAAUCUUGAUCAAUUUUUCCCUAUGUUCUCGAUUCACUGAUUGAUUUAGUCCGUUUUGCCAUUGAUUUUGACCAGGCGCAAUCGGAAGGUGAUUACCAGUUCAUACUGGAUGAAGGAGACUGAAGCAGCAAGUCGUCGUUUAUCACCAUCUCUUCCUACUCAUCAUGAAGCAGUAAUAACCACACCAUCAUUGGUUAAUCAAACCAAUGAUGAACCCAAAGGUGCAUGGUCUAGCUGUUAGUAGAUCGAGAUGUUUGAGAUUAUCAGAUGAAAGCACCUCUGAAUCUCAUGAUGUACAAAGAUUGCUUGGACACCGCUUACCCCUGGAUGGAGCACAAGCUAGAUCAAAAUGGUAUUGCAAUUUAAUGUGUCUUUUCUCAUUCAAAAAUUUGUUGUGUUUGUUUGGUUUGAAACUUGAAUAAUGUAUGAUGAGUUUUGUUCAUUAAAAUUUACUUAGA